This 2431-nucleotide unclassified non-coding RNA is filed under the name Hevea brasiliensis (rubber tree). Lineage: Eukaryota; Viridiplantae; Streptophyta; Magnoliopsida; Malpighiales; Euphorbiaceae. The record is from RNAcentral.
CUCUCUCUCUCUCUCUGUGUGCGCACGCGCGUGUUUGUGUGUGUUAUGUGCUCCUCUGUUUUUUCAAACAAUAAUAAAUUAUCAGCAAUACAUGAGGAUUCCUUUUUGGGUAUCUGAAGAACAUGAGGCAAUUCAAUAACUUAAGAUUAUCUUUCUUGUUUUUCACUUAAGUUGAGACUUGAAAAUGCUAGUGUGGGCUGAUAUUGUUUGUUAUGUGUUUUCUUGCUGAUGCCAUAAUUUGAAAAACUAUGUUUAAAUGAUAAAAUCAUGAUAACUUGAAAGGCUGGUUUGCCUAGGAAUGGCCUCUUGUAGCAUUCUCAGACCUGUGCUUUAUCAUCUCAUCGGAUUGAAAAUUAUUGACAGGACCUAAAAUGGAUCAUUUUAAUCGUUUUUUAAUGGUGUUGAUCAUUGUAAUGGAAUUGUAUCACUCCAGGUCAAGCAUAUUUGAUGCCAAGGCCGGGAUAGGAUUGAGUAACUCAUUCAUGAAGCUGGUGACUUGGUAUGAUAAUGAGUGGGGAUACAGCAACCGAGUGCUGGACCUGAUAGAGCACAUGGCAUUGGUGGCAGCACAUCACUAAGAAUUUUUAAUGAGGUUUAUGGCUGCUUACAGCAGCAAUUUUAGCACAUGCUAUGAGUUUCAUCCAAAGUGCAGUUGCAGAUUUUAUAGAAAUUCAGUUUUUGCCAGAGUGGCUUCAAAACCCCAACACACCCCACACCACCCCACCCCCUCCUCCUCCUCCUCUCCCUCUCCUUCUCCCUGCAAUUCCAGCUCUUGAAUCCAAAAACAACAGCAUUUCAAUUCGAGGCGUUAAAGCUAUCCCUGCAUUUCAUCAUUAAGAACCUUUUAUUAAAUAGCAAAGCAUGUGUCCAAACAUAACGUUAGAAUUGUAUCUUUUUUCAAUCCUUCAUGAUGCUACUCCUUUCGUAUCCAUACAUGCUCACAAUUGUUUACCCAUUUGCCCUCUCUUCCUCUACCUUGCCCUAUCCCUUUUCCUCUGCCCGUAGGCCCCGUACCCCUACCAUAACCAUAUCCUCUCCAAUUUGACUGUCCUGCCCCUCUUUCCUGGAUAUGCCCUCUUUCUUGCUCUCUUUGUCCUUUCCCUUCCUUUUCAACUUGUCCUCUAUCUUCCCAUCUACCUUUUCCCAGUCCCGCUCCUCUCCCUUGAACUCUACCUCUUCCUUGGGAUGUACCUUGCCCCGUUACAACUAAGCCAUUCCGCACUUGGUUAUUGUUCUCUUUCAAGUGAUUGAAGGUAUGAUUGCCAGUGAUGGUUUUCCAAGAUACACUCGGUUCCAAAUUCAAACAAUCAAAUUGUUUCAAUAUUUGUUGAGGCUUCUGAACAUAACCCCUGGAUCUUUUAUCAGCCUGUCGUAUAGGCUCUGGCACACGAUACUGGCAAGUCAUUUUAACAAUUUCAAUUGCAGUAUCAAGUGAUAUACGGUGACCAAUCGAAAUAAAUAUAGGUUUCACAGAACCCUCAGUUGACCUCAUUGCCGCUCCACAUAUGCGCCCAGAGCGUCCUUUCAAAAUAAUAAAAUUUUCACCACUUUUAACUUUGGCUUGAAGACAUUUUUUCACUCCAGAUUCAGUAAGCCCAUCUACGAAAUGCAGUUUCUUUCCAAUCCCAAUAGUAGGAAGAUUGGCCAGAACGCCUAGAUGACAAGCCAAGCCAAAGCCUCGAGGAUGAAGUAUCCCAUUGCCAUCAACCAUUACUAACUGAGGGUAGUAAGGAUUGUUAUUAUUUCUCAUCUUUUCAAGAAGCUGUAGAAGUACUGGAGCCUCUCUGAAUGCAAGGAAGCCAGCAAUAUAAGGAACAUCAAGCCUGACAUGAGCAGACUCUUGGUACACCACUUUGCUAGUGCGAAAAUCCAAAACAACGAGUGUCCCGCAUGCAAUUGAUUGGUCUUCCUUUAAGCAACUCACAUCAACACCACCAAUAUACUUCAAGACCGCUUGAUCAUCUUCUUUACCGGUGGAUGUGCUUCCAGGUAUGGGUAGCUUCCAUGGGAAAUCAUCCUCAGUGAUUAACCUCUCCUUGAGCGAAUUCUGAAUCUCUUUCCACCUCUGCAAAAUGCCUGAUGUUGAGGUCGACGUUGACGCUGAUGAUGACGAUGAUGCUUCUCCUCCUCCACCGUACAUUUUUUCAUAAAAAUUAGUUUAUACACUAUUUGCUCAGUUGCAGUGAAAUUGCAAUUUCUGCUUUACAGUGAUCUUCACAAGCAACAAGAACAGGCAAUACACAGUACUCACUACCCAUUUAACGCAAAACUAUCAUCUCCUCCUAAUUUUCGAUUUCUUGCUAAUGAAGUUGGAAUGUCACUUUCCAAGGACAAAAGAAAAGGGCAAAUAGAAAGUAUUUUCCUUCUUAUUUUUUCCCGGAAACUCCAGGGACCCAUAAGUACACCGAGUGUGCGCAGCACACGGAAUUAG